RNAcentral lists this ribosomal RNA (753 nucleotides) under Triticum aestivum (bread wheat). RNAcentral describes it as "partial small subunit ribosomal RNA". The record is from RNAcentral. Lineage: Eukaryota; Viridiplantae; Streptophyta; Magnoliopsida; Poales; Poaceae.
AUGGCAGCCUUUGGCCCGAUCACCGUCUCCCUAGAAUUCCCUCAGGGCCCCCCUCCUUCACCCUCAAGAAAUGCUUCGCUUGCCGCCGACGAUUUUGUCGAGCUCGCUUUAAGCUCCUCCGACGAUGAUGUGCCGUUCGCUAGGGUUCGCCUGGCUCCUCCUGUUCUGCUUGAUGCUAUCCUUGCUGACAUGCAGCCCGCUGUGCCGCCAUCUACUUCUGUGCUGCCACCUGCCUCUGUCGCCCCAGCCACUCCUCCGGUGCCCUCGGUUAUUGCCUCUAUGCUUUCUGCUGCCAACUGUGCACCUUCUUCGGUCUCCGUUCCUGCCCCCGCAUGUGCUGCUACUGCCGCCAUGCCGGCCCUGGAGUUGGCACCCCCUCCGGUGGUCUACUCUCGCCGUCCCAGGGCUGCUGCGCCUUUGGCUCAGCCCCACGAGGCCAUUGCCAAGAAGAAGCGUGUGUACCGCAAGCGGGCUAGCUUGGUGCUGCAUGUCAGGCGGAGUGCUCGUCUUGCUGAGCUGGAGCCAUACAGGAAGGAGACCAUCCAGGACAAGGCCUCAAAGGCCAAAGCCAAGCGCUUGAUGCUGAGCAGCUCCGCUCGUGACUUCGAGGAUGCAGUGCGUACCGCUCGCCUGUACCCUGAUGCUGCGCAGCCGGGCUCUCCCCGCGCCCUGGCCGCUCUGGCUCUGGAGUGUGGCUCUUCUCCUGACGAGGCCGAAUGGGUGGCCUCAACUGCCGGUGCCUCUGCCAAGUGA